Drosophila nasuta is the source of this 189-nucleotide long non-coding RNA. RefSeq lists it as uncharacterized. The record is from RefSeq and is a predicted model, not a curated record. NCBI's taxonomy places the organism in Eukaryota, Metazoa, Arthropoda, Insecta, Diptera, Drosophilidae. The transcript is spliced from 2 exons.
AGGAACCUUUUGAAUAGAUUACUUUUGGGUGUACGAUUGCAUUUUGGGAUUGGGAAUGGAAACGUGGACCAAAGUGUGUAAUUAUUAGUAUAUGUCAAUGUUGUUGUGUUUGGGAAAUGUUGCUCAAAAACUUGAUAUCUCAUUUUGCGGAAGAUUUCUUUUGUAACGAAUAAAAACAUAACUAAUAUA